AUAUGCUUCGACUGUCGCGGCAAAAUCCGUGACCGGGUUUAGCAGCCUGAAAC
This 53-nucleotide non-coding RNA is filed under the name Salinicola sp. MIT1003. The record is from RNAcentral. Lineage: Bacteria; Pseudomonadati; Pseudomonadota; Gammaproteobacteria; Oceanospirillales; Halomonadaceae.